RNAcentral lists this ribosomal RNA (485 nucleotides) under uncultured bacterium. Its description in RNAcentral is "partial 16S ribosomal RNA". It matches the Rfam family "Bacterial small subunit ribosomal RNA", at positions 29 to 507 of the family's 1533-position model. The record is from RNAcentral.
AUUGAACGCUGGCGGCAUGCCUUACACAUGCAAGUCGAACGGCAGCACGGGUGCUUGCACCUGGUGGCGAGUGGCGAACGGGUGAGUAAUACAUCGGAACAUGUCCGCUGUGGGGGAGAGGCCCGCGAAAGACGGCUUAACUCCGCCAUACGACUAACGGUGAAAGCGGGGGACCUUCGGGCCUCGCGGUUUUGGGGUGGCCGAUGGCUGAUUAGCUAGUUGGUGGGGUAAAGGCCUACCAAGGCGACGAUCAGUAGCUGGUCUGAGAGGACGACCAGCCACACUGGGACUGAGACACGGCCCAGACUCCUACGGGAGGCAGCAGUGGGGAAUUUUGGACAAUGGGCGAAAGCCUGAUCCAGCAAUGCCGCGUGUGUGAAGAAGGCCUUCGGGUUGUAAAGCACUUUUGUCCGGAAAGAAAUCCUUGGCCCUAAUACGGUCGGGGGAUGACGGUACCGGAAGAAUAAGCACCGGCUAACUACGUG